UGUUAAACGUUGAUGAGGAGUACUAAUUUCGAAAUAUCAUCCAGAGAGCCGGUGGUUGCUGCAAGCCGGUUGAUAGAUUGAAACGAACUUGCCUCGGAGUCAUGAUAUGAAUAUAAAAUAUCAUCGUCUUACCCGCGUUAAGGGUUCAAAGUGAGUGGAAGACAAAGAAUGUAUUCCGCUAACUAGGGUGGUACCACGGGAAUCUAACCUCUCGUCCCUAGC
This 222-nucleotide non-coding RNA is filed under the name Paenibacillus sp. RNAcentral's name for it is "T-box sequence". It matches the Rfam family "T-box leader". From Rfam's summary of the family: Uncharged tRNA acts as the effector for transcription antitermination of genes in the T-box leader family. T-boxes are found upstream of many aminoacyl-tRNA synthetase genes and some amino acid biosynthetic genes usually in Gram-positive bacteria. The record is from RNAcentral. Lineage: Bacteria; Bacillati; Bacillota; Bacilli; Caryophanales; Paenibacillaceae.